UGAAAAUCGUCCCUGUUAGAGACUCUUGUGCAGAUAUUGCGUUGGAUCUUAAAACAUUCUGGUAAUAUGUUUGUGAUAAUUCUUCAUUAUCCUACUGCUACUUGCUUGGCUAAUUGUCUUUUUCAGAAUUCUUCUUGUCAGAUUUGAUUAUCCGAUUUUUGAGAAAAUAGAAAAAAAAUCUAAGGGCAUCGUCUGUGGGAAACGCUUUAAAAAUUUUGAUAAAUUCGUCCUUCAGGUUACAGGAAAAGAUGUACCUCAAUACACAACACCAUUCGCAGAAGCCUGCCUGUGCCAUCUACUACUUCAAAGCUUUAAAAAUUCUGGCUACAUAAAACCAACAAGUGUUCAGAAAGCUUCAGUUACAGGUAUUCUUGCCAAAAGAUAUUUAAUUGCACGGGCUCCGGCAAAACAGUGAUCCAAUUAAUUAACGCUUACUAAUUUUGAAACCUGGAUGUCCUCAUACUGACUUGAUUCAAAGGGGUUGGAGUGAACUGGGUAAGUUGAAGUAAAAGUAGUUUUGAGUGGGCACGCUGGUAAUUGCGACUACUUAAAGGUCCAAUUGCAUCUAAGUUUAUUGGCAUUUUACUUAGUAUUGAAAUUAAAUCAACUUUAAAUGGACAACUUGAUGGCCAAAAGAUAAAUAAACUAUCGGAA
This is a long non-coding RNA of Daphnia carinata, 654 nucleotides long. RefSeq lists it as uncharacterized. Lineage: Eukaryota; Metazoa; Arthropoda; Branchiopoda; Diplostraca; Daphniidae. The record is from RefSeq and is a predicted model, not a curated record. The transcript is spliced from 3 exons.